Molecule: long non-coding RNA, 402 nt
Organism: Lagopus muta (rock ptarmigan)
Lineage: Eukaryota; Metazoa; Chordata; Aves; Galliformes; Phasianidae
Exons: 3
Source: RefSeq, a predicted model, not a curated record
GCAGAAUCUGAGGUGCAUCACACAGUGUUAGGUCCUGCGGCUCUCAGGAGGGUACAACUCCCAGGAUCAGCUCCAGGGUGAACACAAGACAGUGUUUGCCACGUCCAUAGAAAAGAAAAACACUUCAAAAGAAUAACUCUUGAACAGAAUCAAAUCGCAGUCACUGGCAAGUGUUUAACAAAAUUACCAGGGAAGCGAAAGUGAAAUCCAUCGAUGUAAUGCUGUCUGUGCAGCAGCCAUAGCACAAACUGUGACCCUGCAUCGCUGCCGUGGUCCUGAGCUCUGUCUGGAAGGAGCCAACGUGAAACGUCGCUGACACAGAGGACAGUCAGGCAUGUGAAUCUAGAAUGGGAAGACACAGUGCAAUCCUUCAGAGAACUAGCUCAGCCAAUGAGGACAAAG